RNAcentral lists this ribosomal RNA (468 nucleotides) under uncultured bacterium. Its description in RNAcentral is "partial 16S ribosomal RNA". It matches the Rfam family "Bacterial small subunit ribosomal RNA", at positions 28 to 507 of the family's 1533-position model. The record is from RNAcentral.
GACGAACGCUGGCGGCGUGCUUAACACAUGCAAGUCGAACGGAAAGGCCCUGCUUUUGUGGGGUUGUCGAGUGGCGAACGGGUGAGUAACACGUGAGUAUCCUGCCCUUGUAUGUCGGGGAAAUUCAGGAAACAGGGGAUAAUACCGGAUAGGAUCUCCUGCUGCGUGGGGGUGGUUGGAAAGUUUCGGCGGUGGGGGCUGGACUGGCGGCUUAUGCGCUGGUUGGUGGGGUAGUUGCGGACGACGGCUUUGAAGGGUAGCCGGCAUGAGAGGGUGAACGGGCACAAUGGGCCUACGAGAGGGCCCAGACGCCAACGGGCGGCAGCAGUGGGGAACAUGGCACAAUGGGGGGACGCCUGAUGCAGCAACGCCGCGUGCGGGAUGCCCGCCUUCGGGUUGUAAACCGCUUUCGCCUGUGCCGAAGAGUGAGUGACGGUAAUGGGUCAAAAAGCCACGGCUAACUACGUG